GUUGUUGAUAGUGGCUCACAGGACACAUGGGACUUAGUGCGAUUCUUAGCGUCUUCUACCUUGUAACUAUUUCAAUCCUGUUUAUGCCUUCUAGUGCUUAAGUUAUUAGGCCUGUGAAAUGAGGAUGAUGAUGCUUGCUUCGCAACAGAGGUCCAUAUAACCCUGGUAAGGGAACAGUGCUGCACAGGAGAUCCAGUGGCACUACAAGUGAUCACAAGUUGCAAGAAACUGCAAAGAAUUCAACCUCGACAGAACAAGGCAGAAAAUCUCAAAACGUGGGAUUUCUGAGUAUGUUCCUGAGAGAAAAAUUGAAUAUGCUGGGCUAAAAGAAUCAGUUAAUUCCUUAAUAUACUGAUAUUACUAGUGAAAUUAUCCUAACUGGCCAAUUUGCAAGAGCUCUUCAUUCAAUGAAAUGCCUACUGGAUGGAGUAAACAACCAUAAUUUUCUUGUUGUUUUUUUUUUUUUUUUUUAGUUGUGGGGUUUUUUUGUUGUUUUGAUUUUGGGUGGGUCUUUUGUUGCCUAGGUUUUUCUCAGUUUGAAAAAUAAAACAUUAAAUAUCCACUAGAGGUAAUUUUUU
Calidris pygmaea (Spoon-billed sandpiper) is the source of this 578-nucleotide long non-coding RNA. Lineage: Eukaryota; Metazoa; Chordata; Aves; Charadriiformes; Scolopacidae. The record is from Ensembl.